This 459-nucleotide ribosomal RNA is filed under the name uncultured Burkholderiales bacterium. RNAcentral's name for it is "bacterial SSU rRNA". It matches the Rfam family "Bacterial small subunit ribosomal RNA", at positions 341 to 792 of the family's 1533-position model. The record is from RNAcentral. Lineage: Bacteria; Pseudomonadati; Pseudomonadota; Betaproteobacteria; Burkholderiales.
ACGGAAGGCAGCAGUGGGGAAUUUUGGACAAUGGGCGCAAGCCUGAUCCAGCCAUUCCGCGUGCAGGAUGAAGGCCCUCGGGUUGUAAACUGCUUUUGUACGGAACGAAACGGCGCUCUCUAAUACAGGGCGCUAAUGACGGUACCGUAAGAAUAAGCACCGGCUAACUACGUGCCAGCAGCCGCGGUAAUACGUAGGGUGCAAGCGUUAAUCGGAAUUACUGGGCGUAAAGCGUGCGCAGGCGGUGAUGUAAGACAGGUGUGAAAUCCCCGGGCUUAACCUGGGAACUGCAUUUGUGACUGCAUCGCUGGAGUGCGGCAGAGGGGGAUGGAAUUCCGCGUGUAGCAGUGAAAUGCGUAGAUAUGCGGAGGAACACCGAUGGCGAAGGCAAUCCCCUGGGCCUGCACUGACGCUCAUGCACGAAAGCGUGGGGAGCAAACAGGAUUAGAUACCCUGGUA